Molecule: ribosomal RNA, 1205 nt
Filed under: metagenome
Description: bacterial SSU rRNA
Rfam family: Bacterial small subunit ribosomal RNA
Source: RNAcentral
GACGCGUAGCGGGACUGAGAGGUUGGCCCGCCACAUCGGGACUGAGACACUGCCCGGACACCUACGGGUGGCUGCAGUAACGAAUAUUCCGCAAUGGGCGAAAGCCUGACGGAGCGACGCCGCGUGCAGGAGGAAGUCCUUCGGGAUGUAAACUGCUGUCAGGGGCUAGGAAGGCAUGACCAGCCCCAGAGGAAGUCUUGGCUAACUCCGUGCCAGCAGCCGCGGUAAUACGGAGAAGGCAAGCGUUUCGGAAUCACUGGGCUUAAAGCGCGUGUAGGCGGGCCUGUCAGUCGGGUGUGAAAUCCCUCGGCUUAACCGGGGAACUGUGCCCGAAACUGCAGGUCUUGAGUCAAUCAGGGGUCGAUGGAACUCCAGGUGGAGCGGUGAAAUGCGUAGAUAUCUGGAGGAACGCCAGUGGCGAAAGCGGUCGACUGGGAUUGUACUGACGCUGAGACGCGAAAGCGUGGGGAGCGAACGGGAUUAGAUACCCCGGUAGUCCACGCCGUAAACGAUGCACACUAGGCUGAGGGAGUUCUGACGCUUUCUCGGCCGUAGCAAAAGCGUUAAGUGUGCCGCCUGGGGAGUACGGUCGCAAGGCUAAAACUCAAAGGAAUUGACGGGGGCUCACACAAGCGGUGGAGCAUGUGGAUUAAUUCGAAGCAACGCGAAGGACCUUACCUGGGUUUGACAUGCACGGAUGAAACCUGUGAAAGCAGGGGACUGCCUUCGGGUGAAACGUGCACAGGUGCUGCAUGGCUGUCGUCAGCUCGUGCUGUGAAGUGUCGGGUUAAGUCCCUUAACGAGCGAAACCCUUGUCGCUAGUUGCCAGCGCGUAAUGGCGGGGACUCUAGCGAGACUGCCGGUGUUAAACCGGAGGAAGGUGGGGAUGACGUCAAGUCCUCAUGGCCUUUAUACCCAGGGCCUCACACGUGCUACAAUGGCCGGUACAGAGUGACGCAAGACCGCGAGGUGGAGCAAAUCACGAAAACCGGUCCCAGUUCGGAUUGCAGGCUGCAACUCGCCUGCAUGAAGUCGGAAUCGCUAGUAAUCGCGUAUCAGCUAUGACGCGGUGAAUAUGUUCCUGAGCCCCGUCAAGUCAUGGAGGCUGGGAGUACCCGAAGUCGGCCCGUCAAAAGGCUGCCGAAGGUAAGCUCGGUGACUGGGACUAAGUCGGAACAAGGUAGCCGUAGGGGAACCUGCGGCUG